ACACUGGGACUGAGACACGGCCCAGACUCCUACGGGAGGCAGCAGUGGGGAAUCUUGCGCAAUGGGCGAAAGCCUGACGCAGCAGCGCCGCGUGGGGGAUGAAGGCUCUCGGGUUGUAAACCCCUUUCAGCAGGGACGAAUCAAGACGGUACCUGCAGAAGAAGCCCCGGCUAACUACGUGCCAGCAGCCGCGGUAACACGUAGGGGGCAAGCGUUGUCCGGAUUUAUUGGGCGUAAAGAGCUCGUAGGUGGCUGAGUAAGUCGGAUGUUAAAUCCCCAGGCUCAACCUGGGACACCACCCGAUACUGCUCUGGCUAGAGUCCGGUAGGGGAGCGUGGAAUUCCUGGUGUAGCGGUGAAAUGCGCAGAUAUCAGGAGGAACACCAGCGGCGAAGGCGGCGCUCUGGGCCGGUACUGACACUGAGGAGCGAAAGCGUGGGUAGCAAACAGGAUUAAUACCCUGGUAGUCCACGCCGUAAACGUUGGGCACUAGGUGUGGGGUCUAUUCAACGGACUCCGUGCCGUCGCUAACGCAUUAAGUGCCCCGCCUGGGGAGUACGGCCGCAAGGCUAAAACUCAAAGGAAUUGACGGGGGCCCGCACAAGCAGCGGAGCAUGUUGCUUAAUUCGAGGCAACGCGAAGAACCUUACCUGGGUUUGACAUGUAGAGAAAAGCCGUAGAGAUACGGUGUCCUUCGGGGUUCUACACAGGUGGUGCAUGGUUGUCGUCAGCUCGUGUCGUGAGAUGUUGGGUUAAGUCCCGCAACGAGCGCAACCCUUGUCCUAUGUUGCCAGCACGUAAUGGUGGGGACUCGUAGGAGACUGCCGGGGUCAACUCGGAGGAAGGUGGGGACGACGUCAAAUCAUCAUGCCCCUUAUAUCCAGGGCUGCAAACAUGCUACAAUGGCCGGUACAAAGGGCUGCUAAACCGCGAGGUGGAGCGAAUCCCAUAAAGCCGGUCUCAGUUCGGAUUGGAGUCUGCAACUCGACUCCAUGAAGCUGGAGUUGCUAGUAAUCCCGGAUCAGCAACGCCGGGGUGAAUACGUUCCCGGGCCUUGUACACACCGCCCGUCACACCAUGAAAGUUGGAAACGCCCGAAGCCAGUGGCCCAACCCGCAAGGGAGGGAGCUGUCGAAGGUGGAAUCAGCGAUUAGGGUGAAGUCGUAACAAGGUAGCCGUACCGGAAGGUGCGGCUG
Molecule: ribosomal RNA, 1195 nt
Filed under: metagenome
Description: bacterial SSU rRNA
Rfam family: Bacterial small subunit ribosomal RNA
Source: RNAcentral